Mustela erminea (ermine) is the source of this 574-nucleotide long non-coding RNA. RefSeq lists it as uncharacterized. The record is from RefSeq and is a predicted model, not a curated record. The transcript has 4 exons. Lineage: Eukaryota; Metazoa; Chordata; Mammalia; Carnivora; Mustelidae.
UGACUGAGGUGGCAGUGGCGGCGGUUGAGCCUGCACCCGGGUUCUGGCUCAUGGUUGGUCCUCCUCAUCCGACACAAAAGAGGAAGGAAUUUUUAUCUGGGAACAAUCUGAAAAGAGAGGUAACCAGCCUUGAAUUACAUCCAAGAAGAUAAGAGAAGAAAAGCCCCAUAGGCAAGAUAUGCUCAAGCAGAGAGAGAGCACACGGGAGGAGGAGCAGAGGGAGAGGGACAAGCAGACUCUGAACUGAAGGCUGAGCUGGAGGCAGGCUCUAUCUCUAGACCCUGAGAUCACAUCUUGAAUGGAAAUCCAGAGUUGAGAGUAUUCCAAGUAUCUAGGAUUCUGAGGAGAUAAGAUGGGGCCCUGAAAUUUCUCUUCUGAUAAUGGUGGGCAGAAAUGUCAACAAAUCAUUAAGUAUACAACAUGAUGGGAUGUAUAAAAGAGGCCUUUUAGGAAGAAUGAUUAUAUGUUGCUGCUUAUGAGAAACAUCCUGAGCUCAAAUGACCUUUGACUAUAAUUACUAAGGAACUCUCAGAAAAGAUCUUUUAUCUAAGGAGUCAUUAACAUGGUCUCUUAU